RNAcentral lists this long non-coding RNA (510 nucleotides) under Vulpes vulpes (red fox). RNAcentral describes it as "lncRNA (ENSVVUG00000028618.1)". The record is from RNAcentral. Lineage: Eukaryota; Metazoa; Chordata; Mammalia; Carnivora; Canidae.
CUUGUUUCAUCUCCUCCGCACCCCGUUCUUCUCAUCCUUCAGACCCUGUACAGUAGCUAAUACAAUCACUCCCUGACCCUGGACUGGUUAAGAUAAUGUUUGCUACUCUAACACAUACUCCUCAAAUCAGCAGCUGAAACCAGAGAGCUGGACUUCAUUCACACUCAAAUGAUGGUCAGUGGUGGUUUGGGGGGUGCUCUGUUCCAGGCAUCACUUAGUCCUCAUAAAGGGACCUUUAUGGGGGCCACCAGGGGCAUCAAUAUCCAGCCAGCAGAAGGAGAAAGAGAGUUGAGGGGGCUCAGGGCCCCGGCUCAAAAGUGGCGGAAAUUGCCUCUGCCCACCUUCCGUGCCCUUAUACCUGCACAGGAGCUGGAGGAGGCCACCUGGCCACGUGCCCUGGAAGAAGCAGGACAGAAAGUCACACGGGUUUGGAGUCUAGCCACCCGGGACGGAGAGAUGAGGGUGUUGGAGCUACAAGACCCAGGGAUCGUCUCAGUGGAGCUGAGUUGA